CCUACGGGUGGCAGCAGUGAGGAAUAUUGGUCAAUGGGCGGAAGCCUGAACCAGCCAAGUAGCGUGCGGGAUGAAGGCCCUACGGGUCGUAAACCGCUUUUGCACGGGGAUAACACCCUCCACUUGUGGAGGUCUGCAUGUACCGUGCGAAUAAGGGCCGGCUAAUUCCGUGCCAGCAGCCGCGGUGAUACGGAAGGCCCGAGCGUUAUCCGGAUUCAUUGGGCUAAAAGGGAGCGUAGGCGGGCGUUCAAGGCAGCGGUAAAAGCCCGGGGCUCAACCGCGCCCCGCAGUUGAAACUGGAUGUCUUGAGUGCACAACAGGCAGGCGGAAUUCGUGGUGUAGCGGUGAAAUGCAUAGAUAUCACGAGGAACCCCGAUUGCGAAGGCAGACUGCCGGGGUGCGACUGACGCUGAGGCUCGAAGGUGCGGGUAUCAAACAGGAUUAGAUACCCUAGUAGUC
Molecule: ribosomal RNA, 459 nt
Filed under: uncultured bacterium
Lineage: Bacteria
Description: partial 16S ribosomal RNA
Rfam family: Bacterial small subunit ribosomal RNA
Source: RNAcentral